RNAcentral lists this ribosomal RNA (152 nucleotides) under Rhipicephalus appendiculatus. RNAcentral describes it as "5.8S ribosomal RNA". The record is from RNAcentral. Lineage: Eukaryota; Metazoa; Arthropoda; Arachnida; Ixodida; Ixodidae.
CACACGAAGUGACCUACGGGUUCGGUCUGGCAAGCCGGCUUCGACGUCACCCGAAAAAAUGAGGGCAAGUAGCCACGAAAGCACACGCAAGUAGCGGAAGCGAAGCGCUAACCGAAACACACCCCUGCCCGAUUCGCGGCCGCCGAACAGGC